Non-coding RNA from Triticum aestivum (bread wheat), 125 nucleotides. NCBI's taxonomy places the organism in Eukaryota, Viridiplantae, Streptophyta, Magnoliopsida, Poales, Poaceae. The record is from Rfam.
AAACUACUCCCUCUGUCCGGAAAUACUUGUCAGAGAAAUGGAUGUAUCUAGACGUAUUUUAGUCCUACAUACAUCCAUUUUUAUCCAUUUCUCCGACAAAUAUUUUCGGAUGGAGGGAGUAUGUG